CGUGUAGGCGGUCGGUCAAGUCUGAUGUGAAAGCCCGGGGCUCAGCUCCGGAAGUGCAUUGGAAACUAGCCGACUGGAGCGCGAUAGAGGAGGGUGGAAUUCCUGGUGUAGCGGUGAAAUGCGUAGAUAUCAGGAGGAACACCGGCGGCGAAGGCGGCCCUCUGGAUCGUUGCUGACGCUGAGACGCGACAGCGUGGGGAGCAAACAGAAUUAGAUACCCUGGUAGUCCACGCCGUAAACUAUGGGUACUAGGUGUUCGGGGUGUUGACCCCCUGAGUGCCGCAGCUAACGCAUUAAGUACCCCGCCUGGGGACUACGGCCGCAAGGUUAAA
This 332-nucleotide ribosomal RNA is filed under the name uncultured bacterium. Its description in RNAcentral is "bacterial SSU rRNA". It matches the Rfam family "Bacterial small subunit ribosomal RNA", at positions 568 to 898 of the family's 1533-position model. The record is from RNAcentral.